GUGAGGAAUAUUGGUCAAUGGACGAGAGUCUGAACCAGCCAAGUCGCGUGAAGGAAGACGGUUCUAUGAAUUGUAAACUUCUUUUGUGCAGGAAUAAAGUGGGUUACGUGUAACCUUUUGUAUGUACUGUACGAAUAAGGAUCGGCUAACUCCGUGCCAGCAGCCGCGGUAAUACGGAGGAUCCGAGCGUUAUCCGGAUUUAUUGGGUUUAAAGGGUGCGUAGGUGGAUUGAUAAGUCAGCGGUGAAAGUUUGCAGCUUAACUGUAAAAUUGCCGUUGAAACUGUCGGUCUUGAGUGCAAAUGAGGUGGGCGGAAUGUGUUGAGUAGCGGUGAAAUGCUUAGAUAUAACACAGAACUCCGAUUGCGAAGGCAGCUUACUGGGAUGCAACUGACACUGAUGCACGAAAGCGUGGGUAUCAAACAGGAUUAGAAACCCGUGUAGUCC
This 445-nucleotide ribosomal RNA is filed under the name uncultured bacterium. Its description in RNAcentral is "partial 16S ribosomal RNA". It matches the Rfam family "Bacterial small subunit ribosomal RNA", at positions 354 to 796 of the family's 1533-position model. The record is from RNAcentral.